Molecule: long non-coding RNA, 214 nt
Filed under: Mytilus galloprovincialis (Mediterranean mussel)
Lineage: Eukaryota; Metazoa; Mollusca; Bivalvia; Mytilida; Mytilidae
Source: RNAcentral
GGUAUAUCCAAGGGGGGAAGGGUGUACAUUCCCUCCGAUUACCUGAAAUAAUAAUUAUAUCAUGUUUUUCAGGAUUAAUAUGAUUUUUUAGCAUAAAAUCGUCCGAAAAUAUUUUCCUCCCAUUAACCUCUGAGGUAUUUUAUCCAUUUUAUGGAAUAACCCCCCCCCCCCUUUCCAACAUUCCUGUUCCAUAGCUCAAUGUAUUCUAAGUCGG